Non-coding RNA from Cyanistes caeruleus (blue tit), 2205 nucleotides. The record is from RefSeq and is a predicted model, not a curated record. Lineage: Eukaryota; Metazoa; Chordata; Aves; Passeriformes; Paridae.
CUUUGACAUGGAACUCAGAACCGGAACACUUCUAACUCAGAACCUGGAACAGAGGCUGUAAAGAACACUUUGUCAAAAACCCCGAUUUUAGAUCAAUCUUCUUGGUGCCACUGGGUUUUACCCUCUCCUAUAACGGGUGCAAUAAAUUCCUCUCUUGGAGGGUUUGGAGGACUGCUGUCUUCAUCUGGACAAGUUAUUUGAUACAGUGAAUUAUGGCAGAAUUAGCCCAUGUCAGAAUUACAAGACUGAAACUCAGCUGGCACAGACCCUGCCUUUGGACUUUGCUGUUCACAACAUCCAGGCAGGAGACCGGGUCCUAGUUAAGGAGUGGAAAGAAGCACCACUGGAGGCUAAGUGGCUUGGACCUUUCCAAGUGUUGCUGACCACAGAAACAGCCGUCAAGACAGCUGAACACGGGUGGACACAUCACACUCGAGUCAAGGUCUCUGAAGCUCCAGAGAUUUGGACAUCUCAGCUGGAGGAGAAGGAUGGGAAGCCGUGACUGACACUCCACAGGAGUGGACCAGAGCAGUAGCUGGUGCGUCGACAUCGGAGGAAGCCCCGAGUGCCUCCCCACAGACUGCCUGCUGAAAUAGUCUGUAUGGGCAUCCCUACUCUCAAAUCUCCAGACACUGGGAGCCAAUCCAUGCUGUCAUUGCUUUCUUUAUGCUAAGCUGUUUCUGUGCUUUCACUUGCCACAGGUGGUGUAGAAGACAACGUGAAAUUGAAAAUUAGAAAUUAGAUUAUAACACUAUUAGAAUGUUUCUCUUAAUAAUUUUACCUUUAUAUUUCCAGUUAAGUUGGAGUCUAAAGUGGGAAAAUAAGUUUUUUACUUUAAGAGAACAAGUAGCAAAGACCUUUAACCUUAGAAACUGUUGGGUCUGCGGGGGGCCAGGGGGAUCUGAAAGCUGGCCAUGGGUGGCCAGCCCAGUCGAGCCUAAAUGGUGGGUUAGCACCCUGAGUGAAGUCCAUAAUAGAACAAGAUUUUGAGACAAAGAAAGAAAUCCAUGGCAGCUUCAUUCUUCUGAAAGAGGCAUUUAUUGCUUAAACAGAACAAGAAGCACAUAUGUGGGAAAGAGCGUUUGUGACUGGACUUUAGGUUUAGAUUGUUGGACCCCCAACUGCCCUCCUUAUGACUGUUCCAGAUAUCGAGGCAGAUGGAAUCAAACGCAUGUUAAGCUCACUAAUGGUAGCUGAGUAAGGUGUUCCAUAAUUACCAAAAAGAUUUUGAAGGCUGUAAAGCAGUGGGGAAGGAUAAGUUUUUUUUGACCCUUUAUUUUUAAGCUGCCCCCGGGAUAAUUCCACAAGUCAGACACAUGUUGUCUGAGACUAUCAGUGGAAAUGGCAACACCAGAAUGAAACUCAAACCCUUUUCAGUAAGUUCUGGUCCAGAUCUAAUAAAACAGAUCUGGGAUGUGAUUGCAAGUGGAAACCUCAUGUAGGAGGUUAGAAAUGUAAAUAUUGUGAUUCUUAUGGCGAGGCAACUAUUGUUGGUGGACCCCUAGGCCCUGGAAGCAAGCUGUAUUUUGACCCGCCAGUUGAUGAUAAAAAUUGGAAAGGUCCCUUCACUAAUGGGACCUGGGCUCUAAAGGGGCAUUACUGGAUUUGUGGCCAAAAUGCUUACCGCAGGCUAUCUCCAAACUGGUCAGGAAUAUGUUAUGUGGGGUAUAUUAGACCAUUGUUCUUUCUGCUACCACAAGUUCAAGGAAAUCAGUUAAGAAUCAAAGUAUAUGAUGAUCUAAUUAGAGAGAAGCGGUCUAUUGAUACAUCCCUGGUUGGAAGGAGCACCCAAAAGUGGGGAAAAGAUGAAUGGCCACCUGAACGAAUCAUACAUACAACACUAUGGACCAGCUACCUGGAACCCAAAUGAAUUAAUAUCAGGUGCCAGAGAACCCAUUUAUAAUCUAAAUCGAAUAAUUAGGUUGCAAGCUGUCUUUGAAAUGAUAAUCAACCAGACAGCUACAGCUCUUGACCUUCUUGCUGACCAGUAUACUAAGAUGAGAAAUGCAGUAUUUCAACAUCGGAUAGUAUUAGACUAUUUAUUAGCAGAAAACGGGGGGGGGGGUGUAGAAAAUUUAAUGACUCAAACUGCUGUUUGCAAAUAAAUGACAAUAGAAAAGUGGUAAAACAAAUAACAAAAGGAAUAAAAAAGUUAGCCCAUGUACCGGUCCAAACAUGGAAAGGAUGGGAAUGGGACAUGUUUUC